AGCAGCCGCGGUAAUUCCAGCUCCAAUAGCGUAUAUUAAAGUUGUUGCAGUUAAAAAGCUCGUAGUUGAAUUUCGGGAUUGACACAUCGGUCGUGCCUUAAGGGGUAUGAACUGGUGUAGUCAAUUUCUCACCUUCUGGAGAACCGCGAUGCCCUUAAUUGGGUGUCACGGGGAACCAGGACCUUUACUUUGAAAAAUUAGAGUGUUUAAAGCAGGCAUUUUGCUUGAAUACAUUAGCAUGGAAUAAUAAAAUAGGACGGCAUGAUUCUAUUUUGUUGGUUUCUAGGAUCACCGUAAUGAUUAAUAGGGAUAGUUGGGGGCAUUAGUAUUCAAUUGUCAGAGGUGAAAUUCUUGGAUUUAUUGAAG
RNAcentral lists this ribosomal RNA (366 nucleotides) under uncultured Glomeromycotina. RNAcentral's name for it is "SSU rRNA". It matches the Rfam family "Eukaryotic small subunit ribosomal RNA", at positions 569 to 934 of the family's 1831-position model. The record is from RNAcentral. Lineage: Eukaryota; Fungi; Glomeromycota.